UACGGGGGGGGCAAGCGUUGUUCGGAAUUACUGGGCGUAAAGGGCGCGUAGGCGGCGUGACAAGUCACUUGUGAAAUCUCCGGGCUUAACUCGGAACGGUCAAGUGAUACUGUCGUGCUAGAGUACAGAAGGGGCAACUGGAAUUCUCGGUGUAGCGGUGAAAUGCGUAGAUAUCGAGAGGAACACCUGCGGCGAAGGCGGGUUGCUGGGCUGAUACUGACGCUGAGGCGCGAAAGCCAGGGGAGCGAACGGG
Molecule: ribosomal RNA, 253 nt
Filed under: uncultured bacterium
Lineage: Bacteria
Description: partial 16S ribosomal RNA
Rfam family: Bacterial small subunit ribosomal RNA
Source: RNAcentral